AUGGGAAUCACCAUCGACCGAGAAACAGGAAAUUACGAAGUACACGAGUUAGUCACUAAACACGACCAUAUCUUGCAAUUGCCUGGAACAUGCCACUUGAUGCCAUCACAACGGAAGAUAUCGACCUUGCAAGCUUUUGACAUUGAAACUGCAGAUGAUUCAGGAAUUGUACCAAAAGCAGCCCAUGAGCUGGCAAGUCGGCAAGUUGGUGGGUCAUUAAACCUUACCUACACACCUCGUGAUCACAAGAACUAUUUGCGAACCAAGCGUCAAAGGGAGUUGAUGUAUGGUGAAGCUGGAAGUAUGCUCAAGUACUUUCGAGAUAAAAAAUGA
RNAcentral lists this ribosomal RNA (333 nucleotides) under Triticum aestivum (bread wheat). RNAcentral describes it as "partial small subunit ribosomal RNA". The record is from RNAcentral. Lineage: Eukaryota; Viridiplantae; Streptophyta; Magnoliopsida; Poales; Poaceae.